GCUUAACACAUGCAAGUCGAACGGUAACAUUGGAGCUUGCUCCAGAUGACGAGUGGCGGACGGGUGAGUAAUGCAUAGGAAAUUGCCGAUUAGUGGGGGACAACAUGUGGAAACGCAUGCUAAUACCGCAUACGCCCUACGGGGGAAAGGUGGCCAAUCCUUGGAAGCUACCGCUAAUUGAUGUGCCUAUGUCUGAUUAGCUAGUUGGUGGGGUAAUGGCCCACCAAGGCGACGAUCAGUAGCUGGUCUGAGAGGAUGAUCAGCCACACUGGGACUGAGACACGGCCCAGACUCCUACGGGAGGCAGCAGUGGGGAAUAUUGGACAAUGGGGGCAACCCUGAUCCAGCAAUACCGCGUGUGUGAAGAAGGCUCGAGGGUCGUAAAGCACUUUCAAUAGUGAAGAUUGGAAUACAGGUUAAUACCCUGUGUUUUUGACGUUAACUAUACAAGAAGCACCGGCUAACUCAGUGCCAGCAGCCGCGGUAAUACUGAGGGUGCAAGCGUUAAUCGGAAUUACUGGGCGUAAAGCGCGCGUAGGCGGUAAGUUAAGUUGGAUGUGAAAUCCCUGGGCUCAACCUAGGAACUGCAUUCAAAACUGGCUCACUAGAGUAUGGUAGAGGUAAGUGGAAUUCCAGGUGUAGCGGUGAAAUGCGUAGAUAUCUGGAGGAACAUCAGUGGCGAAGGCGACUUACUGGGCCAAUACUGACGCUGAGGUGCGAAAGCAUGGGUAGCAAACGGGAUUAGAUACCCCGGUAGUCCAUGCCGUAAACGAUGUCAACUAGCCGUUGGGCCCGUUAGGGUUUAGUGGCGCAGCUAACGCAUUAAGUUGACCGCCUGGGGAGU
RNAcentral lists this ribosomal RNA (844 nucleotides) under uncultured bacterium. Its description in RNAcentral is "bacterial SSU rRNA". It matches the Rfam family "Bacterial small subunit ribosomal RNA", at positions 46 to 881 of the family's 1533-position model. The record is from RNAcentral.